This 273-nucleotide ribosomal RNA is filed under the name uncultured soil bacterium. RNAcentral's name for it is "partial 16S ribosomal RNA". It matches the Rfam family "Bacterial small subunit ribosomal RNA", at positions 26 to 301 of the family's 1533-position model. The record is from RNAcentral.
AGAUUGAACGCUGGCGGCAGGCCUAACACAUGCAAGUCGAGCGGCAGCACGGGUACUUGUACCUGGUGGCGAGCGGCGGACGGGUGAGUAAUGCCUAGGAAUCUGCCUGGUAGUGGGGGAUAACGCUCGGAAACGGACGCUAAUACCGCAUACGUCCUACGGGAGAAAGCAGGGGACCUUCGGGCCUUGCGCUAUUAGAUGAGCCUAGGUCGGAUUAGCUAGUUGGUGAGGUAUGGCUCACCAAGGCACGAUCCGUAACUGGUCUGAGAGGAU